GUAGGUGGCAAGCGUUGUCCGGAAUUAUUGGGCGUAAAGCGCGCGCAGGCGGUUCUUUAAGUCUGAUGUGAAAGCCCACGGCUCAACCGUGGAGGGUCAUUGGAAACUGGAGAACUUGAGUACAGAAGAGGAAAGCGGAAUUCCACGUGUAGCGGUGAAAUGCGUAGGGAUGUGGAGGAACACCAGUGGCGAAGGCGGCUUUCUGGUCUGUAACUGACGCUGAGGCGCGAAAGCGUGGGGAGCAAACAGGAUUAGAUACCCUGGUAGUCCACGCCGUAAACGAUGAGUGCUAAGUGUUAGGGGGGUUUCCGCCCCCCUUAGUGCUGCAGCUAACGCAUUAAGCACUCCGCCUGGGAGUACGGCCGCAAGGCUG
RNAcentral lists this ribosomal RNA (373 nucleotides) under uncultured organism. Its description in RNAcentral is "partial 16S ribosomal RNA". It matches the Rfam family "Bacterial small subunit ribosomal RNA", at positions 527 to 896 of the family's 1533-position model. The record is from RNAcentral.